This 301-nucleotide ribosomal RNA is filed under the name uncultured bacterium. RNAcentral's name for it is "partial 16S ribosomal RNA". It matches the Rfam family "Bacterial small subunit ribosomal RNA", at positions 509 to 807 of the family's 1533-position model. The record is from RNAcentral.
CAGUCGCCGCGGUAAAACGAAGGGUGCAAGCGUUAAUCGGAAUUACUGGGCGUAAAGCGUGCGUAGGCGGUGAGUUAAGUCUGCUGUGAAAUCCCCGGGCUCAACCUGGGAAUGGCAGUGGAUACUGGCUCGCUAGAGUGUGUCAGAGGAUGGUGGAAUUCCCGGUGUAGCGGUGAAAUGCGUAGAGAUCGGGAGGAACAUCAGUGGCGAAGGCGGCCAUCUGGGACAACACUGACGCUGAGGCACGAAAGCGUGGGGAGCAAACAGGAUUAGAUACCCCAGUAGUCCCUGUCUCUUAUAC